This 584-nucleotide long non-coding RNA is filed under the name Cercocebus atys (sooty mangabey). RNAcentral describes it as "lncRNA (ENSCATG00000045876.1)". Lineage: Eukaryota; Metazoa; Chordata; Mammalia; Primates; Cercopithecidae. The record is from RNAcentral.
AACUCGACCUUCUGAUUGUUUUGCUAGUAAAAUGGAUAACGAUAAUUAUACAGGGUACCACCUCAGGAAGAAUUGGUGAAAGUACCAUUUAUAAAUAAUUCAGAUAGGCCUAGAUAGUUUUUAGAGGCAGGCCUACAGGAAAGGGAAAUGUUGAUCAUCAUGGUGAUCACACUCUUCCUUGUGUUUCAGCCACCACCAGGGCAGCUCCUGGCACAACUCUUGCCCCUGGCAGUUCCAACACGGGGGCCACAGCUUCCCUAGGUGGAAGUGCAACGACAAGAGGUAGAAUAACCACCGCUACCACUGGGGCAUUCUCUGGAAAGACUCUGGAGCCUGGGAAUGACAACACAGGCAAGUCAAAAAGUAUACAGGGAAUGCUACACCAUGGCUGCUUGGGUGACAGGCCUCUAGGGUAACAUAACCCUGCACUCCCCAUACUGCAGACUUCAUUCUUGCUUUCUUCUCUCUCAGAGGCCACAAGUUCCACAGGAGAGGUCAGGACCACCAGGUCAGAAGCUCCAGGAGGUAUGUUUCGCCAUUCCCAGGCUUUGAUAUUCUUCUCACUGCCCUGUUGUGCUGAGGUG